This 414-nucleotide long non-coding RNA is filed under the name Canis lupus dingo (dingo). Its description in RNAcentral is "lncRNA (ENSCAFG00020019370.1)". Lineage: Eukaryota; Metazoa; Chordata; Mammalia; Carnivora; Canidae. The record is from RNAcentral.
CGAGAAGGUUCUUAGAUCUCCUAGGAAGGCCAGGCCUCUUUGGGGGUAUUCAGGUCUGAUUUCUCAAGAGCCGCAGAACCGCAGAUGGCAGGGCUGGAAGAGAGCCCGCGGAUGAUUUAAUCCACUCUUUGGAUUUUGCAAUUCUCAGCCACGGGAGGUUAAAGGAGGAGCCGAAACUGAAGAUUAGGACAAAAAGUUGGAUCUCAAGGUAGCUGGUUUGGAGGUGGCAGGACAGGUGGCCCCGCGGUGGCCCUCACGGCUGCCUGUAUGCUUUUCAGGAAGCCUUGAACAGUGCCGGGGAUAAACUUGUAGUAGUUGACUUCGCAGUCACGUGGUGUGGACCUUGCAAAAUGAUCAAGCCUUUCUUUCAUGUGAGUAUGAAACCGGUUCUGCUUUAGAAGAGAUUCUGUGUUU